RNAcentral lists this small nuclear RNA (124 nucleotides) under Cavia porcellus (domestic guinea pig). Its description in RNAcentral is "U2 spliceosomal RNA". It matches the Rfam family "U2 spliceosomal RNA". Rfam says of the family: U2 is a small nuclear RNA (snRNA) component of the spliceosome (involved in pre-mRNA splicing). Complementary binding between U2 snRNA (in an area lying towards the 5' end but 3' to hairpin I) and the branchpoint sequence (BPS) of the intron results the bulging out of an unpaired adenosine, on the BPS, which initiates a nucleophilic attack at the intronic 5' splice site, thus starting the first of two transesterification reactions that mediate splicing. Lineage: Eukaryota; Metazoa; Chordata; Mammalia; Rodentia; Caviidae. The record is from Rfam by way of RNAcentral.
GUCGCUUCUUGGCCUUUUGGCUAAGAUCAAGUGUAGUAACUGUUCUUAUCAGUUUAAUGUCUGAUAUAUCCUCUAUCCUUAGAACUGUACCCAGGUUAUUCAUUAGUGUUCAUAGCAACCCUAU